Molecule: long non-coding RNA, 4416 nt
Organism: Esox lucius (northern pike)
Lineage: Eukaryota; Metazoa; Chordata; Actinopteri; Esociformes; Esocidae
Source: Ensembl
ACACCCAUAGAGAUGGUUAGAGGAUGCAUUCUAGCAUGGACGUCACCAUUGAAGACAUCUGCCAUUUUAUUGUAGUCAGAAAGAUGGCACUUCAAACAGCUAAUAUCUACGGAGGACCAAGCUAGUUAUUGGCUGAUUCAUACUGAUUACCUAGUUGGUUAUCUUAAUAUCAACUUCAGCCAAUGAAUUACACUGAAAUUUACUACUUUAACAUAGAGAUCUCAAAGGUGUUGCCCUUGCUACACCAUACUCUGUAAUGACACAGAUAAACAGAGGUAAGACAUGGAAACACAGAGGAGAAUUCUUUCCAUCUCUGUGCCUAAACCUUUCACAUGCCUUUGGGAUUCAAAAUAUCUUGUUCACCAUUGUCUGAGAUAGAAAUGUGAUGUAUAAAGCUGACACUUUUAUCCAUUUGGCAGAGAAGCAGUCCUACUUUAUGCAUGACAUUUCUACUUUCUGAUUGCUGUGAUAUAACUCCCUGUCACGCUAAGAAAAUGUCUAAUUGACAUCGGUGACUUCUGCAGUUUGGCAUGGUUCUACACCUUCCUUGAGACUUAAUGGGUAAGUCAAAGCACCUUCUUGGAGAUUUUAAAGGGGAGGUUAAUGCACCUUUUAUAUUAGAUGGAACCAGUGGUUCAUGCACCUUUUGAGAAAGGGUUUUGGGCAGUCAUAUGGAGAAUCAAUCCUAGGGUGGGUGCAUUUAGAGAGUAUUGGAACAUAGGGUAGAUCUGCGGAUGUGGGAUUCACUGAGAUGACUGUAAAUAUUGAGAAGACUGUUGAGCUGACUGACUCCUUAUAGCUUCUAGCAAUUUCCUUUGUAGGAUGUUUGUUAUUGUGGAAACGUGUGGAAGGGAUGAGAGGAACAUUUAAAAAAAAAAAAAAAAUAGCUUUUUGUCCUUUUUCUUUUUUUUUUUAUUAGUCUCUUUUUUGUUAAUGAGAUGAAUGCGUGUGAGCUCCCAGCAUGCAUUGGGCCAAUAGAUCAGAUUGUCCUGAGGUUGGUAGAGGAAAAUGUGGAUGAUUUUGAUGAUAUUGGUGGUUGUGGCACUGUGUUAGACUGGAGGGGUACGGUUGUGUAGGGAGAGAUGUCACAGCUACCUGCUCUGGCUGUCUCUUUCAGAAUGUAUUACAGGAAAAUAAUAUAACACUUUUAAAACCCUUUUUUUAAUCCUUUAAAAUAUCCUACAAACUUAAGGUGGUGAACCAACUUCUUGCUGAAGAAAAAACAGAAAAGGAAAAAAGAACUGUACGAUAGAGCACUGUAUAUUUUUUCAUUGUUUAAGAUAAUGAUAAUUAUGUGGUUUGUGUCUAUCAGUGGGGAUGAUGUGACAGACUAGGGUACUGUCACCCAUCUAUUGGAGGUAUUGAUUUUGUGGAGGUGGGUUGCAAGAGCUGUAGAGGUUUGAAUUCUAAACACUGUACCUGCUAUUAAACUUGUACACUUGAGUCUGAUUUCAGCCUCCUGGACAGACACUAAUAUGGAGGCGGUCAGAUCCUCUCAGCGCCACAUGCGGUUAACGUUAUAUUGCAGCCCAGUGAACUGCCUGGGCCACCACCAGAUUGCAGUAUUUCCCCCACAAAGCAUAUGUUAGUUGGCUAGUGAUCCAAGUUAAGUUUUGUGAUCGGGGAGAGCGACCUGUCUAGCUCUAGCCAUGUGUUCAGAGCAGAGUAAAGUUUGUAUGGGUGCAUGAGAGACAGGAGAGUUCAUGCUAAAUUCCCCCCUCAUAUCCUCCAGUUAACGUCCCUCUUUCCUGACAUGCACAGUUAUUGUGAUUAUUAUUACACAGACAAGAGGGUGAAAAAUGUUGGCAGGUUCCAGUGAGGCAUAGGCUUGGCAGGAAGGACCUGUUUUCACUAUAUACAUAUAUAAAUAUGAAUAUAUAUAUAUAUGUGUGUGUGUGUGUGUUUGUGUGUGUGUGUAUAUAUAUACUGUGUGUAUAUAUAUAUACUGUGUAUAUAUAUAUACUGUAUAUUAUACAUAGAGGCACUAAAGAAGUCUGUUAGUUGUGCACUCUCACAGCAUGAGGUAUAUACCCCUAAACCGCUUAUUGAAACCAGUGCAGUAGCCCCCCCCCCCCGUCCCCAGUGUGUCUGUCCCUGCACCCUGCCCUCUGUGACCCCCUGGCACCCAGUGCUCUACUGCUCAUUCUGUUCUCUAUGUUCCAAGUGCCAAUGACUUUGUGAAACCCCUUAACUGUGACCCAUUAUUAUUCAAGAUAAUUGCACAUUAACUACUGUAAAGAAAAAUCAUUAAGAAAAAUGUUGAUAUGGAUUUAAAAAAUGAGUAUCUUAAUAAAAGGUUUGUAACAAGUUGUGUGGCCUUCUGCCUUCAUCCCCUAAAUAUGUGUACAACUGAUUAGAUUUACUUGGGAAAUUUUGUUAAAACGUCAGAUAUUCUCUAUUAUGGCUUUUGUUUUUGCUCUGGGCACAGUGGGUUGCCCAAUGGGUUUCUCCCAAUUAAGUUCCCAGACAAGACAUGAAUCCCUUUUUUCUUAUCACAUUAGUUGAAAUACCGGUGCUAUUAUGGAAAGUAACAGAAUUAAAAUGCUUUUCUCUCCUGUGUAAUAUGGAGAAAUCACUCUCACCUUUUAAUGAGAAACCUGGUUUAACAUGGGAAUGUGUCAAAUUAACCAUGUCUACCAGAAUGGUAUCUUUUUUCCUUUCUUCUUGUAACCAAGUAAAAGAUGCAUUGCGAUCUGAAUACCCAUUUCAUCCAUACCCAUUCAGUCUUGUUUGAAACUCAUCUAAACUGGGGGUUCUAUAAAAUCUGUAUCGCUGAAGCCUUAUGCAGAUUGUGCAACCAUGUAGCUAAACCUCAUUGCUGAGUGCUGUCUUAAUCCCUAUAGAUUGAAUCCAGUUCUUGAUGUUUUACGGUCAUGUGUAUUUCUAAGAUUAACAUAUUUUAUAUCACAUGCCAACAGACACAGGGAGAACAUCAUUUACAGGUUGAAGUAAGCAGGGAAGACAGUUUCUAACCAGCUUUGGACAAAUGAUUUCAGUUUUAAAAGCAUUAAUAACUUCACAAAAUGAAUACUGGAAUGUACUUUAAUUUAAUCACAUUUUGGACUAUUUUUUUUCAGAUUUAUCCAGUCUCAGGCCUGAUUUAAAUGUGCCUGAAAAAGGUUGAGGCACGAUUUCAAUGUUUCAAUCCAAUUAUUCCUAAACCAAUUUGCAGAGCUUUGGUUAUUUUAACAGAACCACUGGGGAAAUAUGAGUUUUGUGCAAAUUGGUGGAAUCUUAUUCAAAAUGAUUCACAGCUGUUAUGAUUGCCAAAGGUGCUUCCACCAAGACGUAUGCAGCGAAUACUUCAUUUUUGUAUUUGUUAUUUUGGAAACAUGCUAUAAUUUCAUGUGCUUUAAAUAAUGGAGUGCUUUAAAACAAGUGCUAUAAUUUUACUCCACUUUAGAAAUAUGUAGCUCAAUGUGUCGAUCAAUAGGUAAAAAAUAGUGAUUUCAUCCUUUUUAGAUUUAACUUAUUGCCGCAAAUAUAGGAAGUAUGUAUUAGGACAAUGACGUUUAUUAUGGGCUCUAUUCCAGCACAUUUGAUUUGGAAUUACAGUGCAGACAGUAAGCUACAAUUAAAUUGAACAUAGUAAAUUCUGAAGCCUGAUUAAGAAUUGUAUAAGAAACUGAGAAUUUAUAUUUUUUAUAUUGACAAGUAACAAAGUGUGCAUGGUGCAUAUGAACACUGAAAAUGUAUAAUAAUUAGUUGUUGUUAUACUGUAAAUUUGUCUCAGUUAAGAGUUUAAAUACAAACUUGAUAGUAUUAUGAACACUGAAAUUUAGGGAUACACCGAUUACAAUAUUCUGGGCCGAUAUUUGUGUAUAACACAAUCGACCCAUGUGGAUGCCAAUGUUUGUUUUUAUUUCUGUACCUGUGUACCUUGGCAUAAAUAAAAUGAAAAUGUUGCUUCUGAUGAUGCUUCUAAUUUCAAAAAAAUCCAUCUGGAGCACCUUUUUGAAGUGAUUGUUUGUCUUAAGCUAAACGUGUUGAUGCUUAUUGAUAAUUAAAACAGCAGCCUGAUCAAUCAGAGCAAUAUCUUUUGACACAACCUCACUUUCAUGAGCAUCACACCAAUGUCCGGGUGAUGAUGAGCAGGCCCAGCCCUACAAAAAUAAGGGGCUCUUGAAUGUACCUCUGCUGCUACCUCAGAUUAGGCACCACUCAAGCCAAGCCUUGUCGUGAGAAGGAUAAAAGUCCUCCAAACCAACAGAACUGGGCACAGAAAAAUUCUAAUGUGAGAAUAUUUUGUGUUUUUGGGUCACUGAUGUACCAGGAAAAAUAAAAGUUUGAAGAGUUCUGAAUCUGUCGAUGCAACUACUAGCUGUGUUACCCAGGAGGCCGCCGAGUCACCUUAACCAGCUGGUUUGAAUUUAAGUUUUUAUGUUUUCUAUAUAGUAACUGUUUUGUGAAUAAAAC